UACGUAGGGGGCAAGCGUUAUCCGGAUUUACUGGGUGUAAAGGGAGCGUAGACGGUUGUAUAAGUCUGGAGUGAAAGCCCGGGGCCCAACCCCGGGACUGCUUUGGAAACUGUAUAGCUUGAGUACUGGAGAGGCAGGCGGAAUUCCUAGUGUAGCGGUGAAAUGCGUAGAUAUUAGGAGGAACACCAGUGGCGAAGGCGGCCUGCUGGACAGAAACUGACGUUGAGGCACGAAAGCGUGGGUAUCGAACAGG
Molecule: ribosomal RNA, 253 nt
Filed under: uncultured Lachnospiraceae bacterium
Lineage: Bacteria; Bacillati; Bacillota; Clostridia; Lachnospirales; Lachnospiraceae
Description: partial 16S ribosomal RNA
Rfam family: Bacterial small subunit ribosomal RNA
Source: RNAcentral